Molecule: ribosomal RNA, 356 nt
Filed under: uncultured bacterium
Lineage: Bacteria
Description: bacterial SSU rRNA
Rfam family: Bacterial small subunit ribosomal RNA
Source: RNAcentral
UCCAAGGAGCUUGCUCUGGAAGAUUUAGUGGCGAACGGGUGAGUAUCACGUGAGCAACCUGCCCCGAAGAUUGGGAUAACACCGGGAAACCAGUGCUAAUACCGAAUGCCCUCCACACGUCGCAUGGCGAGUGGAGGAAAUGUUUUUUCGCUUCGGGAGGGGCUCGCGGUCCAUCAGCUUGUUGGCGGGGUAACGGCCCACCAAGGCAACGACGGAUAGCUGGUCUGAGAGGACGAUCAGCCACACUGGAACUGAGACACGGUCCAGACUCCUACGGGAGGCAGCAGUGGGGAAUCUUGCGCAAUGGGCGAAAGCCUGACGCAGCAACGCCGCGUGAGGGACGAAGGCUUUCUGAG